This 357-nucleotide unclassified non-coding RNA is filed under the name soil metagenome. RNAcentral describes it as "partial contains 5.8S ribosomal RNA, internal transcribed spacer 2, and large subunit ribosomal RNA". The stretch from base 1 to 120 matches the Rfam family "5.8S ribosomal RNA", at positions 35 to 154 of the family's 154-position model. The record is from RNAcentral.
GAUGAAGAACGUAGCGAAAUGCGAUAAGUAAUGUGAAUUGCAGAAUUCAGUGAAUCAUCGAAUCUUUGAACGCACAUUGCGCCCGUUAGCAUUCUAGCGGGCAUGCCUGUCCGAGCGUCAUUUCAACCCUCAGGGUCCCCGUUCCGGCGGGGAACCUGGUGUUGGGGAUCGGCCCGCCCCGUGCGGCGCCGUCCCCCAAAUUCAGUGGCGGUCUCGCUGCAGCCUCCCCUGCGUAGUAGUUACAACCUCGCAUCGGAGCUCAGCGCGGCCACGCCGUAAAACCCCCGACUUUCUGAACGUUGACCUCGGAUCAGGUAGGAAUACCCGCUGAACUUCAGCAUAUCAAUAAGCGGAGGA